This 1380-nucleotide long non-coding RNA is filed under the name Papio anubis (olive baboon). Its description in RNAcentral is "lncRNA (ENSPANG00000037580.1)". The record is from RNAcentral. Lineage: Eukaryota; Metazoa; Chordata; Mammalia; Primates; Cercopithecidae.
AUGCGCGGCGGCAGCGGCGAAGGCGCGGGGCGGGGCGGGGUGUCGGGCGCCCCUGGCUCCCAGCGCGGGCGUUCGCUCAGACUGUGGCUCUCCCUCGCUCGCGCAGCACGUGGGCCAAUGCGCCGGCGCCUGCUCGCCGCGGCUCUCUGCAGUGCGGACUCGGGGCGGGGGCGCGGCGGCGAUGCAGCGCGGACCCCUCCGCGUCGUCCGGGAGACCGCAGAGCCAUUGGCGCGGACGGGUCACGAGGCCGGGCUCUCGCCACCGCCCCUAGGGGCCCCAGGUCCCCGGGUGACGUCACCUGCUCCUCUCCCCUAGCCCCCCCGCCACGGGGGCCCCCGGGCACACAAGCGCCCGCCCACCCCCACCCCCACUGCGGUGUCCAAAGGUCUGUGGCGGCCAGUCCCAGUGCCUUUGGCUCUCACCACAGCGGUUCCUGGUCCGGGCUCCUGCCCCUCCCGCACGUGCCACGGAGGUGCCAGCAGGGCGAGGGGUCUGCACCCCGGCAUGCCCACCAGAGGGCCAGGGAGUGGUUUGCGGUGCGCCAGGCAGCUCUGCGUUCUGGCCAGGGUCAGGGAGCCGGGUUCUGGGGUCUGUUCACCUGCUCUUGUCCUCCCCCUCCCCGUCCAGGACUGGUCCUCUGGCUGGAGAGGCCAGGCGAGGCCAGGGGCACCUGGUGCCGGUGCCAUCCGUGCAGGAGAUGCCCCAGGCACUCACGCAGCUCACGCACACCACCCCAAGGAGGGUCUACCAUCUCCCUGCUGUCCGUCCCACUGCUGGGACCUGCAGCCCUCCAGCCAAAGCGCUUCGCUGCCCAGGUGCUAGUGGACAGGUUUACCGGGGCCUUUCCGGUUUUACGUGCUGCAAAUCUAGUUACUUGGGAAACCACUUCCAGGGCUUGGAGCCCAAUCCCUUGGGCCUGCCCUUCCUUGGCAGCCGUGCGCCAUGGGUUCUAUUGUAUCUGUUUGAUCCCAGGGCAGCAGCCAAAUGAAGAAGGGAGUGACUGCCCCUCAGGCAGUGGGCCCAGAUGUUCUGUGGGUCCUGCCUGCUCUGCCAGCCGCAUGCUCAACUCCCGUUCACACAGCUUCAGCUCCUUUCCAAACACACAGAGGGGCUUGUGGUUGAUUUUCAGGCCAGGUUCACCCAUCCAGCCAAGUCUGGGAGGCCACCUUGCAGUGAGUGGGGCACAAAACUGUCCAGACUUCCUGUACCACCCUGAGUUGGUCAGUGUUCUGCUUGUCAGCCUGGCACUUGUCAGGGACCAAGAAGAAAUGGCCCCAGGGGCUUUUCCCUGGUCAGACAGAAUUCCUAAAAUAUCUUUACAGGAGUUAUUUCAUUUACUCCUCACCAGAACUCUGAGACAGGUAUUAACAUUAUCCUGA